Thamnophis elegans (Western terrestrial garter snake) is the source of this 2475-nucleotide long non-coding RNA. RefSeq lists it as uncharacterized. The record is from RefSeq and is a predicted model, not a curated record. NCBI's taxonomy places the organism in Eukaryota, Metazoa, Chordata, Lepidosauria, Squamata, Natricidae. The transcript has 2 exons.
GCGAGGCGGUUGAUAUCGCGAGGCGCGCUCAAAUCGCGCCUCGGUUCGGCCUCUUCGCCGAACGUUUGUGGAAGGUGACGGGCUUAUAAUUUGGAAGUGCACAAAUGAGCGCAACCUCCAGUUUAAAAGCGCAACAAAGAUUUACGAGGCCAAGAAGCUGUUCAGCAACUCUCUUUUAAGUAGAUUCGGUGGAAAAGACCAAACAUAGCCAGCCGUCCGUCACCAGAAGGUGCUGAAGCCUUUAGUUUAAAUAAGUGGUUUCCGCUGAUGCCAGAAACAGUUGGAAUAAGAUAUUGGGAUGAAUGCGGUUCGGGGUGGCAGAAUUAGAACUAGGCACUUGUUUCUAGCAAGUCCCUGGAAAGUGCUAGCAAAGAGACUAACGUGACAUCUGCGCUGCCUGCUCUCUUAUACGUGGUGGUUCGUUCCCAAGGGGGGGAAAAGAAUAUCAGCUUAAUAACUUUGGCAAAGGUAAUUUGUUUUUUGUUUUUUAACAAUCAGACAGAAUCAUACAAGAGAAAAGUAGGUGGGCACAUGCAGUUUAAUUGUGAUUUGUUGGACAGGUUGUAGUGAAUGUGUAGUUACUGAGAUUUUUUGCCACCCACUUGCCAGUUCUAAUGUGGUUUACAAUAUUACAAAAUCCAAUUUUAAUGAAAUACCUUAGUAAAACCAAUAAAUAUAGAAGUCUUUAAAAGGUCUGUUUUUGUCAUCUUCUGAAACAUGGAAAGAGGCACACCUGAUUUGGACAAGGUGUUCCAGUGGGAAGGAUCUGUUGUUGAGAAAAUCAAGCCUCUGAGUUCUCAUCUCUUUUUUUUUUUUUUGAUCUGGGGUGUCCAUUCUCUAAUAGAUCAUGAAGGUAGUGCAGAUUUUACGUGAAGGAGACUGUUACAAAGGCCCAAGCAGAAAUAUAUCCAAGGACUUGACAUCUCUUCUGCAACAGCAUCAAAUUGAUAUCACCCUCUCAGAAGAGAGUGGAACUACUUCAAAACUGUCUCCAGUCCCCCUCUCUUGCAAGCAGCUCAAAAGGAUACCAUGUUGUUAUACCGAAACUUACAGAGAGGUCUACAGGAAAGGAGAGUGCAUCACAGCUGUUUCAAGUUGCGUCUACAAAAACAUGUUCUGUUUCAUGUCUUGUUUAGAAAGGAUCCAAAUAAUCUGUCUCAUCCAGGACCCUUUUGUAGUUGAAGCCUAGCUACCUUUUCUGCAGCUUUUUCAAACAGUAAUAGGUUGGAUAAGUAGAUCCAUGGAAGUAUUUUAAGAAGAGAGACCAGUUUCUUUAAUGACUGAAGGUAUUGCCUCCUCUUCCUUUAGCAGUGGUUGAUUGAUCAGCUGAAACCAUGUGCUCCAUUCUUGUUAGAAGUUCACAUUGAACAGUAAGGAUCUAAUUUGCAUGUAGCCUCCUCAGGCAUCCACGUUGAAGCAAUAGUUUACAAAUUACAAUUUACAUACUGCAGUAAAUAAAAUCUAAACUGUUAAAAACUCUUUGGUUAUGGUCAGUGUAUGCAUUUGAUUGUCCCUCUUCUCCUGCUUCUUGAGAGGUCUUACAAUUUAAAUUCAAGGACAUUAAUAGUUCAUAGAAAGCCCUGAGAAGUGGGACAUUUACAAAUUGAUUAAAGAAAUAAAAUAAUUGCAACACAAUAUUCUCUAUAUAGAGAGUGAAAAGCAUGGGAGUGGGGUGGAACAUCAGUCUGCAUGGGCCUUUUAACUGAAUAGUUUUUAAAACCAGGGAUGAUGCACAUUUCUAUUAUUACCGGUACUUAUCUAGUUUCAAGGAAGCAGUUGGAUUCUUCAACCUUAAACUUGAUAACAGAGAUGAGGGAGAACAAGUUGAAGUUAAAUCCAGACAAAACAAAGGUGCUUUUGAAAAACAGAACUCUGGAUGGAGAGUGUGGUAAAACCUGUUUUAGAUGAGAUUGCCCUCCCUCAAGAGGAGCAGAUUUGCCAUUUAACAGCAGUCUUGAAUCUGCAGGUGAAGGCUAUUAUAUAACAUAUCCAUUCUUUGGUUAUAACCUGUCUUGAGUUCUGCAAUAUGUUUAUCUUAUGGCUGUCCUUGAAGAGUACUUGAAAUUAGUAAUUGGUGCAAAAAUGCAAUAGAUAGGUUGCUAUCUGAUACAAGGUACAAAGAUCAGACAAUGCUUGUAGUGAAAGAUUUGUAUUGGGCUUGAUUAUUUGAGAUACUGCCUUUGUUAUUGGGAAUCUGCUAAGGAGACCUUUUGGAAGAUUACUCUGUGGUACUUCUUGUAGGGCAUCAAAGCAAUAGCUCAAAAAUAUAUUUUGUUUGCUAUCUCCCAUCCAUGCCACUAGUGGAUACUAUUUUGUCAGCAGGAUUAUAGAGUUGGCUUCAAGACAAUGAAAUUUUUCUCCUAGAAGGAAUCCAUUUGUAUACUGGAAUUUUGAAUGCAUACACACUGAACAUCAGAAAUAUUUGUUGAAUUUCCUACAUUGUGAUAAUGCAAACGUCAACCAUCUGAAACAGUU